GGACUUGAGGGGACCCUCCAGGGGAGCCGCCGCUGCCGCUCGAAUCGAGCUUGAGGGGGUUGGGCCGCCGCCAUUUUCCUGUUGCUCGAAUCCAGGCUCGACUGCCUAUGGACCACGGGGACGCCCUCGCCGCUUGUCCAUGCCCUUUCACUUGUCGACCAGUUGCGCGAGCAUAGCGGGGAUCGGGGAAAAGGGGUUUCACUGCUGUGGCGGUCGAGCUUGCGAAGGACGGUGCGUCGAACACGACGUGGGCAGGUGGAGGGUUGGGGCCUUGGGGGCUUGCGUGCUCUGGAACGACGCCCCUCUCUCUCUGGAACGACAACAACGGAUGAAGCGUCCUCAGCGGCGGUGGGGAAUCAAAUCUUCAGCAGCGGCAAACUAACGCAUCCUCUGCGGCGGCAAGGAAUCAGGUAACGGCCCCCUCCCUCUCCUGGAGCCUUCCCUUCUCAGUCUCCCAUUGGGAUGGCGCAUAGCGACAACUGGUCGAGGAACCGCCUAGAACGUGGUGAACUCCGAUGGCACCCCAGGCUCGAUGUUGGAGUUGAUUGGACGAAAAAGGGUUCCAACCAACACUUACAUCCAAGUAGCCCAUACAAACUCAUGCCACACACACACCCAAGGCGAGAUACAAGAAUGCCGGGCACCGACACACCACCACAACAAUUACUAAGCGCCUAUAAGAUGUGCAAGAAGGAACCGCUUAGAGCCGACCAAGACAACCACCAAGACGAUGCCUCCAAGAAGGGCACGACCACGGAAUGUCGCCGUCAUCCGAUCCAAAAAUCAAGUUUUCACCCGGAGCUAGAAGGAAGGAGUGGGAGCACCAAGACAGAGCCUGCAAGGAGGAACACGACGUCCGCGAACGACAUCACCGUCGGUCAGUGCAUGGACUUGGCAAGUGACGUACCCCGGUGCUUCACCCCCUCUAUCGCAACCCCGCUCCGUGAACCACCCGUAGCCAUGCCUCCCGAGCGGCCAUGGUUGUCUACCUGCAUCUGAGCUGCACAGUCCGCCCACGACCAACACGCCUCCCGCUACCAGGACCACCGGGACGCGAGAUCCGGCCUGUGCCACACACCACGCCCAAGGAGACAAAGGGGCCUCGCCGUCGGUGGCGACGACCGGGCUUCGCCCGCUCGUGCCCCCUGGGGGCGGCGAGGGAGGGAGGAGAGGAGGAGGGGAGGGGAGGCAGCGGCACUAGGGUUAGCCUCCCGGACGCUCACGGGAGCGUCCCGGGAGGAGGAGGGGUUCGAAAAAAAAACUCUCGUUGAUUCAGCACUCGGACGUGUCAUGCUUAGCAUGAACACGCAAUAUUGUAGUGCAACGGCGGCGCAAGAGCACGCGUGGCGUGCUAGAGGGCACGGGUGGGUGGCGUCGCAUUUCUGGUCGAGGGCUUGUUGUUCUAAGAGAUGUAGCAUUGGAUUCAGUUCCUUAAUGGUGGACAACCAGCCGUAGUAUUGGGUUGGCUUUUGAUUAUUGCAGUUUCAGUUUAGGAGGGUAGAAAUCGAACUGCCAUCACAUUCUAUUGUUAAUGUUCGCAGUGAGCUUCUUGUGGCCUCAAGCUUUUGAAAUUUUCAAUAACAAGCUUUGUAAUAUUGGUCUAAUGUGGUUUUGUUAUUUUACAAACUACUAACUGAUGUGUCUGUGUGUCGACUGCCGGCUUCUGCUUGUGUGCUAAGCAGACCACAACAAUCAAGGGACGAAGAACGAAGGCACGUCAGUUCACAAGGCACUAGUUCGUCCUAGAUAUUAUCACCAAAAAUCAGCAUGCAAUUGUGCUGAGUCCCCACUAGCAGUGUAUCAUGAAUCCUUUAUUUUUGGCAACCAAUGAUUGCUACCUGCUGUCGCUGUAAUAUUGUCGUAUAAAUUUUGUUUUUAAUUUGUCCGUUCCCCGCAAAAAGGGAAAUUCUGUUGAUUGUACACGCAAAAGAAAAUUUGUUGAUUGGAACCUUGGUAGCCUA
Molecule: long non-coding RNA, 1961 nt
Filed under: Triticum aestivum (bread wheat)
Lineage: Eukaryota; Viridiplantae; Streptophyta; Magnoliopsida; Poales; Poaceae
Description: long non-coding RNA (TAES_LNC027031)
Source: RNAcentral